This 69-nucleotide transfer RNA is filed under the name Dipodomys ordii (Ord's kangaroo rat). It matches the Rfam family "tRNA". From Rfam's summary of the family: Transfer RNA (tRNA) molecules are approximately 80 nucleotides in length. Their secondary structure includes four short double-helical elements and three loops (D, anti-codon, and T loops). Further hydrogen bonds mediate the characteristic L-shaped molecular structure. tRNAs have two regions of fundamental functional importance: the anti-codon, which is responsible for specific mRNA codon recognition, and the 3' end, to which the tRNAs corresponding amino acid is attached (by aminoacyl-tRNA synthetases). tRNAs cope with the degeneracy of the genetic code in two manners: having more than one tRNA (with a specific anti-codon) for a particular amino acid; and 'wobble' base-pairing, i.e. permitting non-standard base-pairing at the 3rd anti-codon position. Lineage: Eukaryota; Metazoa; Chordata; Mammalia; Rodentia; Heteromyidae. The record is from Rfam by way of RNAcentral.
GGCAAGGUAGCUCAGUGGUAGAGUGCUUGCCUAGCAUGCAUGAGGCCUGGGUUCAAUUCCUCAGCACCA